GGAGACGUGGCCGAGUGGUCGAAGGCGCUCGCCUGGAAAGUGAGUAUACGGCAAAACCGUAUCGAGGGUUCGAAUCCCUCCGUCUCCGCCA
RNAcentral lists this transfer RNA (91 nucleotides) under Pseudonocardia sp. TMWB2A. Its description in RNAcentral is "tRNA-Ser". It matches the Rfam family "tRNA". From Rfam's summary of the family: Transfer RNA (tRNA) molecules are approximately 80 nucleotides in length. RNAcentral also lists the same sequence under 4 other names. Lineage: Bacteria; Bacillati; Actinomycetota; Actinomycetes; Pseudonocardiales; Pseudonocardiaceae. The record is from RNAcentral.